RNAcentral lists this ribosomal RNA (253 nucleotides) under uncultured bacterium. RNAcentral's name for it is "partial 16S ribosomal RNA". It matches the Rfam family "Bacterial small subunit ribosomal RNA", at positions 524 to 776 of the family's 1533-position model. The record is from RNAcentral.
UACAGAGGGUGCGAGCGUUGUUCGGAAUUAUUGGGCGUAAAGGGCGCGUAGGCGGUGCGGUAAGUCACCUGUGAAAUCUCCUGGCUCAACUGGGAGCUUGCAGGCGAAACUGCCGUGCUGGAGUGUGGGAGAGGUGCGUGGAAUUCCUGGUGUAGCGGUGAAAUGCGUAGAUAUCAGGAGGAACACCUGUGGCGAAAGCGGCGCACUGGACCGCAACUGACGCUGAGGCGCGAAAGCUAGGGGAGCGAACGGG